GGCGGGAAAACAGGAUGUCUUCCAUUUGGAAGCCCCUUUGCUUCUAAGAAGUUCCAGAGACCAUCCCAGGCCCACAGAGUUAUAAGGAUUCAUCUGGGCACUGAAGACAUUUGGGACCUCAGUGAAGUUUCUCCGAGGCCAGAUGGUCACAUUGAUUUUCUGGAAUCAUUUUGAAUAAAAAUGAGCGAGGUGGUGAACACAAUGCAAGGCUCUCCACGUACUGUCUGGUAUUGUUCAACCAGCUCCACGACUCCCUGAGGGCAGAGAUGAGCAGAUGUUAAUGGAUAAAGCCAGGUGGGAUGAUGUUAUAACAUUUCUCCUACAGCCCCAAAUCUCCCAACUCCUGCAUGUGUGACCUGAGUAAGACUCGGUGCAAGAAGACAUCAGUGUUCCCAUCUGUGAAAUGAAGGAAUUGACCCCCGAGGAUCUUCCAUUUCUGACAGUGCUUUGGAUUUCAUUGGUUUUGUCACAGGUACCCCCCAAAAGCCUCCAUCUUUGGAUAAGUGAUUAAAACUGCUGAGUAAUUUUCAAUUAAUAAAAGUUCAGUGCUGGCUCUCA
Molecule: long non-coding RNA, 558 nt
Filed under: Homo sapiens (human)
Lineage: Eukaryota; Metazoa; Chordata; Mammalia; Primates; Hominidae
Description: non-protein coding lnc-LPP-6:6
Source: RNAcentral